UGAUACACUAGUACACACAAAGUUGCCCCGACAUCGUUCUGUGAGUCGCUUCGCUCUUGAAGGCCUUAAAACCUGUAUCGAAAUCAACAUUUUUCAGCGUUCAUUCAUUUGCUUCGCAUAGCUCACCUUGUUAGCUGCGCCGGGUUAACCUAAUAAGCCAGCGCGGGGCGAGCUGAGGAGCCCGCGGUUGGCAAUGUCUAAUCUACAGGUAGGUUGCGCGAGAGGGGCGGGGCUCGAUGCGGGUGUGGCUGCGGAAGAACACUCGUAGAUCUCGAGGCGCGAAACUGGCACUCCAACAAUUUCCGCAAACUCGGGAGAGCCAUUACGUCAAGUAUUUGUAUUUUGGCUGUUGUGAAAAGAAGGGCUGAAAUCCGGCGUGUAUCAAGCUUUUACCGUGGAGUUCGGCUUGCAAGGGCGGGCAAGCCCUUCACAAAAACGCACAAUCGGC
RNAcentral lists this long non-coding RNA (448 nucleotides) under Chlamydomonas reinhardtii. RNAcentral's name for it is "long non-coding RNA (CREI_LNC001177)". Lineage: Eukaryota; Viridiplantae; Chlorophyta; Chlorophyceae; Chlamydomonadales; Chlamydomonadaceae. The record is from RNAcentral.